RNAcentral lists this long non-coding RNA (264 nucleotides) under Sorghum bicolor (sorghum). RNAcentral describes it as "long non-coding RNA (SBIC_LNC000932)". The record is from RNAcentral. Lineage: Eukaryota; Viridiplantae; Streptophyta; Magnoliopsida; Poales; Poaceae.
AAAUGCAAACCUCAAAUACAAAACCCUUGGAGAUGCUCUAAGCUAAGCUGAAAAAAUACCAAUUUAAAUUAUCUAAGUUCUAGAACCCACGUUACAGAGAUUAUCAGGCUAUACAGGUACUCACUGUUUUUUCAGUGAUCUGGCAGAGGCUAGAAUACCUUAUUUUGUAGCAAGUCUGACCAACCGCACCAUGGGUGAACCCGUUCUUAUCCAUCAAGCGCAGGUGCAUGCAGCAGUCAUUCGGGUUACCAUAAGAGCACUCAC